GGCUCAGUAGCAGAGGGUCUGCAUCUGCUUUCAAUUUUCAAAGCCUUUUGGUGCUCUCUUGUGUAGAUAAAGCCUGUUCAACUCGGGCCUGAGCCA
Non-coding RNA from Mycena galericulata, 96 nucleotides. Lineage: Eukaryota; Fungi; Basidiomycota; Agaricomycetes; Agaricales; Mycenaceae. The record is from the annotation of a GenBank genome assembly.